GAAAAUAUUGGUUGAGACAAAGAUGAAAUAGGUUGAGAAAUGGGAGGUGGAUGGAUUGGUAAGAUCCUUUCAGAAACUAUAGAAUUAGAAACAAUAGGAUUGCUAGCUUUAGCAAGCUUAGCAGAAUUAGUAGUUUCAGAAGCUUUAGAGGAUUACUGAACAACACCAGAUAUGUCUUUCAUAAGCAUUGCUUUCUGGUGCUCACUGAGAGGCACCUCAUCUUCAUCCAGAAGGACAAAAACUUUC
RNAcentral lists this long non-coding RNA (246 nucleotides) under Lathyrus oleraceus (garden pea). RNAcentral describes it as "Pisum sativum (pea) long non-coding RNA (PSAT_LNC004902)". Lineage: Eukaryota; Viridiplantae; Streptophyta; Magnoliopsida; Fabales; Fabaceae. The record is from RNAcentral.